Molecule: ribosomal RNA, 425 nt
Filed under: uncultured bacterium
Lineage: Bacteria
Description: partial 16S ribosomal RNA
Rfam family: Bacterial small subunit ribosomal RNA
Source: RNAcentral
GUGGGGAAUAUUGGACAAUGGGGGCAACCCUGAUCCAGCCAUGCCGCGUGAGUGAAGAAGGCCUUCGGGUUGUAAAGCUCUUUCGACGGGGACGAUGAUGACGGUACCCGUAUAAGAAGCCCCGGCUAACUUCGUGCCAGCAGCCGCGGUAAUACGAAGGGGGCUAGCGUUGUUCGGAAUUACUGGGCGUAAAGCGCACGUAGGCGGACAUUUAAGUCAGGGGUGAAAUCCCAGAGCUCAACUCUGGAACUGCCUUUGAUACUGGGUGUCUUGAGUAUGGAAGAGGUAAGUGGAAUUCCGAGUGUAGAGGUGAAAUUCGUAGAUAUUCGGAGGAACACCAGUGGCGAAGGCGGCUUACUGGUCCAUUACUGACGCUGAGGUGCGAAAGCGUGGGGAGCAAACAGGAUUAGAAACCCCAGUAGUCC